CCUACGGGAGGCAGCAGUGGGGAAUAUUGCACAAUGGGGGGAACCCUGAUGCAGCGACGCCGCGUGGGUGAAGAAGUAUCUCGGUAUGUAAAGCCCUAUCAGCAGGGAAGAAAAAUGACGGUACCUGACUAAGAAGCACCGGCUAAAUACGUGCCAGCAGCCGCGGUAAUACGGAUGGUGCAAGCGUUAUCCGGAUGUACUGGGUGUAAAGGGAGCGCAGGCGGCACGCUAAGCCUGAUGUGAACACCCGGGGCCCAACCGCGGGAGUGCAUGGGAAACUGGCGGGCUGGAGUACCGGAGGGGCAGGCGGAAUGCGCGGUGUAGCGGUGAAAUGCGUAGAUAUUGGGAAGAACACCAGUGGCGAAGGCAGCCUGCUGGACGGAGACUGACGCUGAGGCUCGAAAGCGUGGGGAGCAAACAGGAUUAGAUACCCCUGUAGUC
RNAcentral lists this ribosomal RNA (441 nucleotides) under uncultured bacterium. RNAcentral describes it as "partial 16S ribosomal RNA". It matches the Rfam family "Bacterial small subunit ribosomal RNA", at positions 338 to 795 of the family's 1533-position model. The record is from RNAcentral.